RNAcentral lists this ribosomal RNA (625 nucleotides) under uncultured bacterium. RNAcentral describes it as "bacterial SSU rRNA". It matches the Rfam family "Bacterial small subunit ribosomal RNA", at positions 869 to 1503 of the family's 1533-position model. The record is from RNAcentral.
CCACCUGGGGAGUACGCCGGCAACGGUGAAACUCAAAGGAAUUGACGGGGGCCCGCACAAGCGGAGGAACAUGUGGUUUAAUUCGAUGAUACGCGAGGAACCUUACCCGGGCUCAAACGACACAGGAACGGCCCUGAAAGGGGUCGGCUCUACGGAGCCUGUGUCGAGGUGCUGCAUGGUUGUCGUCAGCUCGUGCCGUGAGGUGUCGGCUUAAGUGCCAUAACGAGCGCAACCCCCAUCGACAGUUGCUAACAGGUUAGGCUGAGGACUCUGUCGAGACUGCCGGCGCAAGCUGCGAGGAAGGCGGGGAUGACGUCAAAUCAGCACGGCCCUUACGUCCGGGGCGACACACGUGUUACAAUGGCAGGUACAGCGGGAAGCCACCUGGCGACAGGGAGCGGAACCCGAAAGCCUGUCUCAGUUCGGAUUGGAGUCUGCAACCCGACUCCAUGAAGCUGGAUUCGCUAGUAAUCGCGCAUCAGCCACGGCGCGGUGAAUACGUUCCCGGGCCUUGUACACACCGCCCGUCAAGCCAUGGAAGCCGGGGGUGCCUGAAGUGCGCUGCCGCAAGGAGCGCCCUAGGGUAAAACCGGUGACUGGGGCUAAGUCGUAACAAGGUAACCGU